RNAcentral lists this ribosomal RNA (160 nucleotides) under uncultured bacterium. Its description in RNAcentral is "partial 16S ribosomal RNA". It matches the Rfam family "Bacterial small subunit ribosomal RNA", at positions 355 to 507 of the family's 1533-position model. The record is from RNAcentral.
UGGGGAAUAUUGGACAAUGGGCGAAAGCCUGAUCCAGCCAUGCCGCGUGUGUGAAGAAGGUCUUCGGAUUGUAAAGCACUUUAAGUUGGGAGGAAGGGUUGUAGAUUAGUACUCUGCAAUUUUGACGUUACCGACAGAAUAAGCGCCGGCUAACUCUGUG